CCAGUUGUGUCGGGGGAGGGCGGAGAUGAGGUGAGAGAGGAGCCCGAAGAAAACUCUUCAGAUACAGAAGGACGGGGGGCCAAAGUGCCAACAGGAGGAAGAGAUGGGGAGUACUGGUUUUGGAGCUCCAGCACGGAAUCUCUGGCCCCCCCUAUAAGGCUGUGACCUAGGAGUACAGGCAAAUGGGGAUCCUGUUUGUCACUGCUACCAUCGGCUGGGGGCUUCCAGUGAGUUACCAAAAGGACCCAAAGACCACUCAGAGCAGAAGCUCCUAGUGUCCCCCUUCCAGGGUCAGAAGCCCUCUUCAAAAGGGAAGCCAAAAUGCAUGAGACUAUCACUCACAGUGGGUAGGAGAAAAGGAGGCAGGAACUGCACAAGCUUUGAAAUUCAUUUUGACCUUCUAACUCUCAUGCUUAGGAUUACCAGGAGUCUACAUCCCCAUUUUUACAAAUGAAGAAACCAAACUUCAGAAAGAUACAGGCAUGCAAGUCUCUGAACAAGAAAUACAAGUGGCCAAUAAACUUAUGAAAAUUA
Molecule: non-coding RNA, 534 nt
Organism: Macaca mulatta (Rhesus monkey)
Lineage: Eukaryota; Metazoa; Chordata; Mammalia; Primates; Cercopithecidae
Source: RefSeq, a predicted model, not a curated record